RNAcentral lists this non-coding RNA (29 nucleotides) under Mus musculus (house mouse). Lineage: Eukaryota; Metazoa; Chordata; Mammalia; Rodentia; Muridae. RNAcentral also lists the same sequence under 1 other name. The record is from RNAcentral.
UUCAAGUAGCAGGACAGCAACGCUUAAGA